This 458-nucleotide ribosomal RNA is filed under the name [Eubacterium] saphenum. RNAcentral's name for it is "bacterial SSU rRNA". It matches the Rfam family "Bacterial small subunit ribosomal RNA", at positions 28 to 485 of the family's 1533-position model. Lineage: Bacteria; Bacillati; Bacillota; Clostridia; Peptostreptococcales; Anaerovoracaceae. The record is from RNAcentral.
GAUGAACGCUGGCGGCGUGCUUAACACAUGCAAGUCGAGCGAGAAACUACAUGCAGACACUUCGGUAGAAGCGAGUAGCGGAAAGCGGCGGACGGGUGAGUAACGCGUAGGCAACCUGCCCUUCACAGAGGUAUAGCCUCGGGAAACCGGGAUUAAAACCACAUAAAAUCAUAGGUUCGCAUGAACCAAAGGUCAAAGAUUUAUCGGUGAAGGAUGGGCCUGCGUCUGAUUAACUGGUUGGUAGGGUAAAAGCCUACCAAGGCGACGAUCAGUAGCCGACCUGAGAGGGUGAUCGGCCACAUUGGAACUGAGACACGGUCCAAACUCCUACGGGAGGCAGCAGUGGGGGAUAUUGCACAAUGGGGGAAACCCUGAUGCAGCAACGCCGCGUGAGGUAUGAAGGCCUUUGGGUUGUAAGCCUCUGUCCUAGGGGAAGAAAAAAAUGACGUACCCGAGGA